GCGAUGGGCUCCGAAGCUAACGCGAUAAAUCGACCGCCUGGGGAGUACGGCCGCAAGGUUAAAACUCAAAUGAAUUGACGGGGGCCCGCACAAGCGGUGGAGCAUGUGGUUUAAUUCGAUGCAACGCGAAGAACCUUACCUGGUCUUGACAUCCACAGAAUCUUGUAGAGAUACGAGAGUGCCUUCGGGAACUGUGAGACAGGUGCUGCAUGGCUGUCGUCAGCUCGUGUUGUGAAAUGUUGGGUUAAGUCCCGCAACGAGCGCAACCCUUAUCCUUUGUUGCCAUCGGUUAGGCCGGGAACUCAAAGGAGACUGCCGUUGAUAAAGCGGAGGAAGGUGGGGACGACGUCAAGUCAUCAUGGCCCUUACGACCAGGGCUACACACGUGCUACAAUGGCGUAUACAAAGAGAAGCGAGCUCGCGAGGGUAAGCGGACCUCAUAAAGUACGUCUAAGUCCGGAUUGGAGUCUGCAACUCGACUCCAUGAAGUCGGAAUCGCUAGUAAUCGUAGAUCAGAAUGCUACGGUGAAUACGUUCCCGGGCCUUGUACACACCGCCCGUCACACCAUGGGAGUGGGUUGCACCAGAAGUAGAUAGCUUAACCUUAGGGAGGGCGUUUACCACGGUGUGAUUCAUGACUGGGGUGAAGUCGUAACAAGGUAACCGUAGGGGAACCUGCGGUUG
RNAcentral lists this ribosomal RNA (684 nucleotides) under Gilliamella sp. App4-10. RNAcentral describes it as "bacterial SSU rRNA". It matches the Rfam family "Bacterial small subunit ribosomal RNA", at positions 836 to 1520 of the family's 1533-position model. Lineage: Bacteria; Pseudomonadati; Pseudomonadota; Gammaproteobacteria; Orbales; Orbaceae. The record is from RNAcentral.